This 250-nucleotide small RNA is filed under the name Histoplasma capsulatum. RNAcentral describes it as "hypothetical RNA". RNAcentral also lists the same sequence under 1 other name. The record is from RNAcentral. Lineage: Eukaryota; Fungi; Ascomycota; Eurotiomycetes; Onygenales; Ajellomycetaceae.
ACCUAUCGCUGCUAAUCUAUCGCCGCUGCGAAUCUAUCACUGCUGCCAAUCUAUAUAGAGUAAAUCAUGGUCCCAUUUAGAAUCAUUAAUUUAUAAGUAAAACAUGACCUGGGACUAGAUUUAUUAAAGUGAUUAAUUUACUAAACACUAUAUGGGACCAGGACUAAGAUAUCUGAUAAUGGAACUGAGGAAAAAUUUGGUCCUGGUCCCAUGCAUGGUCACACAGCCAGUCUAUAUGUAACUAGGGGCU